This 2960-nucleotide ribosomal RNA is filed under the name Verrucomicrobiota bacterium. RNAcentral's name for it is "Verrucomicrobia bacterium 23S ribosomal RNA". It matches the Rfam family "Bacterial large subunit ribosomal RNA". The record is from RNAcentral. Lineage: Bacteria; Pseudomonadati; Verrucomicrobiota.
UUUGGUCAAGCUAGAAAGAGCACAUGGUGAAUGCCUUGGCAUCUGAAGGCGAUGAAGGACGUGGUAAGCUGCGAUAAGCUACGGGGAGCGGCAAACACGCAUUGAUCCGUAGAUUUCCGAAUGAGGCAACUCCGUUCCGGUCAUGCGGGACGAUCGUCGGUUGAAUUCAUAGACCGGCGAGGCAAAACCAGGCGAAGUGAAACAUCUCAGUAGCCUGAGGAAAAGAAAACAACCGUGAUUUCCCAAGUAGUGGCGAGCGAACGGGAAACAGCCUAAACUGCGGCGUUUACGCCGCAGGGUCGCGGGACUCCGAUGUGGUAUGAGUGACGGUAGCUGAAGGUUCUGGAAAGUUCCUCCAUAGAGGGUGAAAGGCCCGUAAGCGAAACCGAAACAAGACCUAGGAGUAUCCCAAGUAGAGCGGGACACGUGAAACCCUGCUUGAAUCUGGUGGGUUCACCCACUAAGGCUAAAUACUAACAGAUGACCGAUAGUGAACUAGUACCGUGAGGGAAAGGUGAAAAGAACCCCUGCUAGGGGAGUGAAAUAGAACCUGCAACCGUGUGCUUACAAACUGUGGUAGUCCCGCCUCGGCGGGAUGGCCGCAUGCCUUUUGCAUAAUGAGUCCGCGAGUUAUUGUAUGCAGCAAGGUUAACACUGUCUCCAACGAGAUGGUGGCAGCCGUAGCGAAAGCGAGUGCGAAAUGCGCGUCCAGUUGCAUGCGAUAGACCCGAAGCCGUGUGAGCUACCCAUGGCCAGGAUGAAACGAGGGUAACACCUCGUGGAGGUCCGAACUAGUGGCCGUUGAAAAGGCCUUGGAUGAGCUGUGGGUGGGAGCGAAAGACUAAACAAACUCGGUGAUAGCUGGUUCUCCUCGAAAUAACUUUAGGGUUAGCCUGCACGAAUGCUCGUACCGGAGGUAGAGCACUGAAUGGACUAGGGUCCUUACCGGGAUUCCGAAGCCAAUCAAACUCCGAAUGCCGGUGCAGUCACGUGCGGAGAUAGGCCGUAGGGGAUAAGCUCUACGGCCAAAAGGGAAACAGCCCAGACCGCCAGUUAAGGCCCUUAAAGUCGAUUAAGUGCGUAAGGAUGUGGGAUUGCUAAGACAGCUAGGAUGUUGGCUUAGAGGCAGCCAUCAUUUAAACAGUGCGUAACAGCUGACUAGUCGAGUGAUCUCGCGCCGAAAAUGAUCGGGACUAAAUCGACUGCCGAGACUGCGGAUUGCGCCGCAAGGCGCAGUGGUAGAGGAGCGUUCCAUGCUGCUUGAAGCGGGAAGGUAACUGACCGUGGACAGCAUGGAAGUGAUUAUGCGGACAUGAGUAACGAUAAACCAGGUGAGAAUCCUGGUCGCCGUAAUCCCAAGAUUUCCUGGGGAAGGUUCGUCCUCCCAGGGUUAGUCGGUGCCUAAGCUGAGGCCGAAAGGCGUAAGCGAUGGACAACAGGUUUAAUAUUCCUGUACCACCGGCUUGAGUGAUGGAGUGACGCAGACAGUGAUGUCGGCCGCCGAUCGGAAGUGGCGGUCCAAAUCCUUAGAGGGUCCUGGUUGGUAAAUCCGCCGGGGCAACCUUGAGGGACGAUGGGACGUUGCGGCUACGGCCAAGACGGAUUGACAGGUACUUUGCUGCCAAGAAAAGCUCCUAGCGUUAAUCAAGCAGGUGACCGUAUCUGAAACCGACACAGGUGGGAAGGUAGAAGAUACCAAGGCGCGCGAGAGAAACCUCGUUAAGGAACUCGGCACACUAGCCCCGUAACUUCGGAAGAAGGGGUCCUCCCAAGAGUCAUCCUCACGGAAAAGCUUUUAGGAGGCGCAGUGAAUGGGCUCAGGCGACUGUUUAACAAAAACACAGCACUCUGCUAAGUCGCAAGACGAUGUAUAGGGUGUGACACGUGACCAAUGCUGUAAGGUGAAGGCAAGGCGUUAGCCGCAAGGCGAAGCGCUGACCCGAAGCCCCAGUGAAUGUCGGCCGUAACUAUAACGGUCCUAAGGUAGCGAAAUUCCUUGUCGGGUAAGUUCCGACCUGCACGAAUCGUGUAACGAUCUGAGCGCUGUCUCAACGAGGAUCUCGGUGAAGUUGUAAUUCCGGUGCAAAUGCCGGAUACCCGCAGUAGGACGGAAAGACCCUGUGAACCUUUACUUCAAUCUGGUAUUGGGUUCUGGUUGGUUAUAUGUAGCAUAGCUGGGAGGCAUCGAAGCCCGGUCGUUAGGCCGGGUGGAGCCAUCAGUGAAAUACCAGUUUUAAUUAACCGGAAUUCUAACCGUGUCCCGUAUAACCGGGCAAGGAACAGUGCCAGAGGGCAAGUUUGACUGGGGCGGUUUCCUCCAAAAUGAUAACGGAGGAGUUCGAAGGUUUCCUCAGCACGGUCGGCAAUCGUGCGGAGAGCGUAUAGGUAGAAGGAAGCUUAACUGCGAGACCUACAAGUCGAGCAGGUGCGAAAGCAGGACUAAGUGAUCCGGUGGUUGUUAGUGAUAGCGCCAUCGCUCAACGGACAAAAGGUACUCCGGGGAUAACAGGCUGAUCGCCGCCAAGAGUCCAUAUCGACGCGGCGGUUUGGCACCUCGAUGUCGGCUCAUCACAUCCUGGGGCUGGAGAAGGUCCCAAGGGUUUGGCUGUUCGCCAAUUAAAGUGGUACGUGAGCUGGGUUCAGAACGUCGUGAGACAGUUCGGUCCUUAUCCACUGUGGGCGCAGGAGAUUUGAGGGGAACAUUCCUUAGUACGAGAGGACCGGGAAUGACGUACCUCUGGUGUUCCGGUUGUCAUGCCAAUGGCAUUGCCGGGUAGCUAUGUACGGAAUGGAUAAGCGCUGAAGGCAUCUAAGCGCCAAGCCGUCCCCAAGAUCAUAUCUCCCUUCGGUCGCAAGACCGACUCAAGGCAGGUUGAAGACUACGACCUUGAUAGGCUGGAUGUGUAAGCACAGCGAUGUGUUUAGCCAACCAGUACUAAUCCGCCGUGAGGCUUGACCUU